This 369-nucleotide unclassified non-coding RNA is filed under the name uncultured Pyronemataceae. RNAcentral's name for it is "sequence contains 5.8S rRNA gene". The stretch from base 1 to 53 matches the Rfam family "5.8S ribosomal RNA", at positions 102 to 154 of the family's 154-position model. Lineage: Eukaryota; Fungi; Ascomycota; Pezizomycetes; Pezizales; Pyronemataceae. The record is from RNAcentral.
GAACGCACAUUGCGCCUUCUGGUAUUCCGGGAGGCAUGCCUGUUCGAGAGUCAUUGACACAAACCACGUCGUCGACCCUCACCUUUCUAAAGGGGGGUAGGGGGUCGUCGGCGGUCCUGGUGGAUGAGGGGGGAAUAGUUGGCAAAUAUAUAUAAUAAUCUCCUCCCCACCGAAAUUGAGAGGCAGUCUGUGAGUGAUAAAAACCCACACAUGUUCGUUUAUGGCGUUGUAUAGACGGCUCUCAAAUUGUGGAGCCAACUCUGUUCGCUUGUAACAAACUUCCCUGGGUCUUACCUCGACUAGCCUUCCAAAGUUCCUAAAAUCUCAAGGGUUUGACCUCGGAUCAGGUAGGGAUACCCGCUGAACUUA